RNAcentral lists this transfer RNA (87 nucleotides) under Desulfurococcales archaeon. Its description in RNAcentral is "tRNA-Ser". It matches the Rfam family "tRNA". From Rfam's summary of the family: Transfer RNA (tRNA) molecules are approximately 80 nucleotides in length. Their secondary structure includes four short double-helical elements and three loops (D, anti-codon, and T loops). The record is from RNAcentral. Lineage: Archaea; Thermoproteati; Thermoproteota; Thermoprotei; Desulfurococcales.
GCCGGGGUGCCCGAGCGGUUUAAGGGGCUGGCCUUGAGAGCCAGUGGGCAGGAGCCCGCGCGGGUUCGAAUCCCGCCCCCGGCGCCA